GCCGACGUAGCUCAGCUGGUAGAGCAACUGAUUUGUAAUCAGUAGGUCGCCAGUUCGAUUCUGGCCGUCGGCU
RNAcentral lists this transfer RNA (73 nucleotides) under Deltaproteobacteria bacterium. RNAcentral describes it as "tRNA-Thr". It matches the Rfam family "tRNA". From Rfam's summary of the family: Transfer RNA (tRNA) molecules are approximately 80 nucleotides in length. Their secondary structure includes four short double-helical elements and three loops (D, anti-codon, and T loops). Further hydrogen bonds mediate the characteristic L-shaped molecular structure. tRNAs have two regions of fundamental functional importance: the anti-codon, which is responsible for specific mRNA codon recognition, and the 3' end, to which the tRNAs corresponding amino acid is attached (by aminoacyl-tRNA synthetases). tRNAs cope with the degeneracy of the genetic code in two manners: having more than one tRNA (with a specific anti-codon) for a particular amino acid; and 'wobble' base-pairing, i.e. permitting non-standard base-pairing at the 3rd anti-codon position. RNAcentral also lists the same sequence under 1 other name. Lineage: Bacteria; Pseudomonadati; Myxococcota; Myxococcia. The record is from RNAcentral.